GGGUCCUCGCCGGCUGACGGUGACGCUGACGGUGAGGCAGUGGCGCUGCGGGGAGCAAGCCUCUUCGGGCACUCUCCCCUCGUCUCUCUGCGGUUAAUGGCGGCGAGAUGGAGCGCGAGGGGAGCGGAAGCAGCGGGGAGUCGGCCGGGCUCCUGCAGCAGAUCCUCAGCCUGAAGCUGGUGCCGCGGGUGGGCAACGGGACCCUGUGCCCCAACUCCACUUCUCUCUGUUCCUUCCCAGAGAUGUGGUAUGGUGUGUUCCUGUGGGCACUGGUGUCUUCUCUCUUCUUUCAUGCCCCUGCCGGAUUACUGGCCCUCUUCACCCUCAGACAUCACAAAUAUGGUAGGUUCAUGUCUGUAAGCAUCCUGUUGAUGGGCAUCGUGGGACCAAUUACUGCUGGAAUCUUGACAAGUGCAGCAAUUGCUGGAGUUUACCGAGCAGCAGGGAAGGAAAUGAUACCAUUUGAAGCCCUCACCCUGGGCACUGGACAGACAUUUUGUGUACUGGUGGUCUCCUUUUUACGCGUUUUAGCUACUCUAUAGCAUACACCCUUAUGCUGUGAUGUCAAACUUAAGUUUUUUCGAAUCCUCAAAAAGAACACCUUAUGGAGUGUAGUGUUUUCUUAGUUCUUCAAUUGGAAGCCACUUGGAUGCACAAGAAUGUGGAAGACAAUAUAUCAGCCCCUUUCUUCAGUGUGAAGCUCUAGGAUCUGAAGAUCUUUGUGGACUCCUAUCAUUCUCAACCAAAACAAAACAAGUUUCUUGGCUUGCUUUCUUGUAGAUAUUUAAUUUAAGCAGUUUUACAUGUGUACCUUUACCCAAGCCAGAUGAUCUGUCCAAUGCUGAGAGAUGUGAUCGGGUCCCCCAAUAUUAUCAUAGAGCAGAUGCUGCUUCUGUCACUCUGAAAUGGGCUUUGUCGAAAGAGACAUCCUCUUCUUUUCUUUGACUGUGCUGGUGACUCUCCUUGUGUGAAUGCACUCUUCCAAGCAGAUUUUUAAAGAUUCCAGUUUUCAGUUCAAGGAGCUAUGAUUUUGGAAAGUGUCCCUUCAGUUUAAGAAAUUUGGGGGUUUGGAUCCCUGUACCGGACAGAUGCAAAAAAAAGGGUGGGGGCGAUUUUGAUCAUCGCUAUUGAAGGAUGCCUCUUAUUAAGAGUUCUCACCUGACUAACAUUCUUUUGGAUAUAAUUUCAUAAACUAAACAUGUGGGUCAGUAGUUAGUGGGCCUUUCCCUCAGAAUACUAAUUUUUGAACUAAUUAUAUUGGUCUAUGAUUAAAAUGUUAUCUUAUUUUUCUUUAGAGCCAAGACACAAAAAUCAAGGUAUUUUGAAAAUUGUCUUUGUUUCCAUCUGUUUCUUGUUUGAUAUAUUUUGAUUAUCUACUCUUUUUAAAAACUGCAGAUAUGAAAUAUAUCUUCACAUUAUUGAAUGUUUCAUCCCUCCCAACAUGUGAAGCAUUCUCUGGUGAAUAAAGAUAUAUAGACUUUAUAUACAAGGGUACUUCAAAAAGUUUGUGGAAAAAUACAAUUGAAGACAAAACAAAUCUUUCCAUGAGCUUUCUGAGGUACCCUCAUAAAUUGAGCUGUGUAGCUUAAAAUGUUUUCAGGGAGAAACUACUGGAAUGAUAAAAAAAUGUCUAUUCCACUUAGGUUUUCUUUUUUUUUUUUUAAUGCCUCAAAUACACAACUAUUUUGGGGUGUUUACUCAGAUGGAAUAUUGGUAUUUAUGUUGAACAUUUUAUUUUACCUCAACCUCCCCCAACUGGGCUUUCACUAUUUUUUUUUUUUUUUUUUUUUUUUAGUGUGGGUGAGGAAGGCAACCCCCAACCAUAAAAGCUGAUUUCUUGAUUCUUUAGUAUGGGGUUUUGGGAUGAAAGCAUUUCAUGAAAACUUAAGUUCAUCUACAAAAGCAUAAUGAAUAUUCCAAGAGAUGUCUCUCUGUGCUAUUAUAUUUUUUUGCAGCAAAAUAUUACUACUUAGGAAAUAUUUAAACUAGUGAGAAAAAGUUUAUGCAAAUAAUUACCUUUACAUCCUUCCUUACGUUUUUUAACUUUUUAAAUUGUAUGUUGGCUUUUCUGACUACUCUGGUUUGAAUUAAGUUCAUAUUGCACUACAGUACACACCAACCUUCCCUAGAACCAUUUCCUGGAAUGUGAAGCCCUGGUGCCAUUAGCAAUCUACACGCAGAAAGUUUUGUGUACCUGCAUUUCUUUUUUGUGCACUCUAAGGCUGAUUGUGACUAAAAUCAGCUUAACUUUUUGUACUAGAUUAUUUCACUAACUGCUACAGUCAGAAUGAUCAAAUCUUUGUACAAUAGAAAAUUAUUUAAAAUUAUUUUUCUACUGACAUUUCUAAUUCUAGUGUAAAUGUUUAUCAAUAAAGAAUAACUUUCAAUUCUAUGAUUUGGGAUUGUAUUU
Molecule: RNA transcript, 2410 nt
Organism: Cynocephalus volans (Philippine flying lemur)
Lineage: Eukaryota; Metazoa; Chordata; Mammalia; Dermoptera; Cynocephalidae
Gene: TMEM170A
Gene name: transmembrane protein 170A
Exons: 4
Source: RefSeq, a predicted model, not a curated record